UACGAAGGGGGCUAGCGUUGCUCGGAAUCACUGGGCGUAAAGCGCACGUAGGCGGAUUGUUAAGUCAGGGGUGAAAUCCUGGAGCUCAACUCCAGAACUGCCUUUGAUACUGGCGAUCUUGAGUCCGGGAGAGGUGAGUGGAACUCCGAGUGUAGAGGUGAAAUUCGUAGAUAUUCGCAAGAACACCAGUGGCGAAGGCGGCUCACUGGCCCGAUACUGACGCUGAUGCACGAAAGCGUGGGGAGCAAACAGG
RNAcentral lists this ribosomal RNA (253 nucleotides) under uncultured bacterium. Its description in RNAcentral is "partial 16S ribosomal RNA". It matches the Rfam family "Bacterial small subunit ribosomal RNA", at positions 524 to 776 of the family's 1533-position model. The record is from RNAcentral.